Molecule: long non-coding RNA, 2036 nt
Organism: Hemibagrus wyckioides
Lineage: Eukaryota; Metazoa; Chordata; Actinopteri; Siluriformes; Bagridae
Exons: 3
Source: RefSeq, a predicted model, not a curated record
AUAGUGCAGUUUUUUUUAAGGCUGUCAAUUAAACCUGGGUUUAGAUUUAAAGACAUGGAAGAGUAUUAAUAUGCAAGAGAUUUUUCUUUUGUUAUUAUUUGUUAAAACUGAAUGAUUUGGAAAACUCUCACUUUGUGACUGUAUAAAUCAGUGAUGCUAGGGAUUGGAAAAUAAUCAAGGACAGGGUGAUAUGAUGCAUCCUGAUUCAAGAAGGAUAACAGAAAGUGGAUUGUUUCCGUAAAACAGCAUGCCCUGAAGUGUUUUAUUCUCACGGUCACCCAUUACUAUGUUGAAUGGCACUGAAUGCUUUUUAAACCAUUUAUAGCUACAUUAACUUUUGUGCAAUGUCUAUGAAGUAACUUCCUAUUUUUCUCUUCCUGAGUAUGUCCUGUGUGACAGAAUAGUGCAAUGGUGACGUGGAUGUCACAAAACACCAGUGAGUUCGAUCCUCAGCACCAGUAAGAGUACUGGGAUGUAUGGGAACAAAUUGUGUUAACUCAAUUCAAUCAUAUAUUUGUCCGUGCUUUGAUGUAACAGAUGGAUGUUGGAUGUGUCCUAAACCACAAAGCAUGAUUUAAAAUAGCCCUGGUCGCGAUGAGAAAAACAGAUUUAGGAAGUUGGAUGGUACAGCUCUGUGGGGGAGAAAUGGUUUUCUACAUGCAACAGGUGAAGUGGGAAAUAAAACCUGCUGGGGUUGUGUGAUACAACCUGACACAAAGAGGAGUCACUUAACACCCUGAAGUUUUUUUCUAUAACCUCACAUGCCAAAGUUUUAUUAUAUCACAUCAUUUAAUUAAAGAACUGCACAUUGUACUUUGUCUGCAUUUACUUUUUUUGUUGUUGUUGAAUGUCAACAAAUCAAAUCACUUAUCUUAUAGUUGUUGUUUUUUUUCAUGAACAAGACAGACAGAUGCAGCUUGUCAUUUCACCAAGAAACCACAAAGCCCUCCUUCCUGAAGACUUUUUCAUGGCAUGAAGUAUCACGUUAUGGCUUUACCUUUACCAUGCCUAUAAAGCCCUAACACUGGAGACUCCUUCCAAAAAUGUCCAACAAUCCAAACAUGUAGGUUGUUUCUCUGGAAAAAAAAAAAAAAUUAGAAUAAGUAAUAAGGAGAAGCAGCACACACAAUUUUAUUUGUUCAUUAAAAAAAAUUUAAGAAGAGAUGAAGAUCAGAUCCCAGUGCAGGAGCCAUUCGUGCAGAAACCCACACAAUUCCAAAACAUUAACAAACUUGCCGAAUGUUUUAACUUGACCUCAAAUGAAAAUCAGUGCUGGUCACUCCCUACAUGGUGAAGUAAAUCUUUUCCCUUCAGUGUUAAACAGUGAGCAGACCGGCAUGCCAGCCUCAGCCGAUGGCAACAAUGGGGGUUUUUUUCCACCACAAAAACUGAAACAUAUGAGAACUAUCAGCACAUGUUUUAUAUUUUGAAAUUACUGCAAAUAUUUUUCCUUUUUUGGACUCAAUGUUCCGGUUCAUUUCUCUAGAGCUGCGAGGAAGCUGUUAUUAUGCAGCCAAGUGGCGCCGCCUGUUGGUCAAAUGAAACACUGACGAAGCCAAAUACCUUCUUUGGUUUUUAAAAAAAAUAUAUAGAUAGUAAAUUAUUAAUAGCUAAACAAUAAUUUACCACUCACUCUCUGACUGUGAAGUAUGUUACAAAACACACUGAGAACUUCUUAUUUAUAAAAGGUCAUAAAAGGUUUUAUGAACAAAUGUAUAUUACAAACUAUAAGUGUAAUAGAGUAAGAGUAAGUAAGUGUAAACUAUAACUAUAAAUAACAUUAUCAUACAUCAUAUUAUUGUUUUUGUAGAAUAUAUAUAUAUAUAUAUAUAUAUAUAUAUAUUUAUUUAUGCUGUCACAGCUUAUUAUUUGGAACACCAGAAAUGAACCUGCUUGAACAUCCUGCAUAUAUAAACACUUGAUUACAAUCAGCUUAUGUUCUUUUAACCAAAUUUAACCAAGUUGCUUUCAUUUUUAUUUUUGUUUUCUUCCAUAACAUAUAGAGUUCGUUAUCUUAUGCCAUAUAAAUACUGUAU